CUUACACAUGCAAGUCGAACGGCAGCACGGACUUCGGUCUGGUGGCGAGUGGCGAACGGGUGAGUAAUAUAUCGGAACAUACCCAGUAGUGGGGGAUAACUAUCCGAAAGGAUAGCUAAUACCGCAUACGAUCUGUGGAUGAAAGCAGGGGAUCUUCGGACCUUGUGCUAUUGGAAUGGCCGAUAUCUGAUUAGCUAGUUGGUAGGGUAAAAGCCUACCAAGGCGACGAUCAGUAGCUGGUCUGAGAGGACGACCAGCCACACUGGAACUGAGACACGGUCCAGACUCCUACGGGAGGCAGCAGUGGGGAAUUUUGGACAAUGGGGGCAACCCUGAUCCAGCAAUGCCGCGUGAGUGAAGAAGGCCCUCGGGUUGUAAAGCUCUUUUGUCAGGGAAGAAACGGAGUUCUCUAAUAUAGGAUUCUAAUGACGGUACCUGAAGAAUAAGCACCGGCUAACUACGUGCCAGCAGCCGCGGUAAUACGUAGGGUGCAAGCGUUAAUCGGAAUUACUGGGCGUAAAGCGUGCGCAGGCGGUUUUGUAAGUCUGAUGUGAAAUCCCCGGGCUCAACCUGGGAACUGCAUUGGAGACUGCAAGGCUAGAGUGUGUCAGAGGGGGGUAGAAUUCCACGUGUAGCAGUGAAAUGCGUAGAGAUGUGGAGGAAUACCGAUGGCGAAGGCAGCCCCCUGGGAUAACACUGACGCUCAUGCACGAAAG
RNAcentral lists this ribosomal RNA (716 nucleotides) under uncultured beta proteobacterium. RNAcentral's name for it is "bacterial SSU rRNA". It matches the Rfam family "Bacterial small subunit ribosomal RNA", at positions 48 to 759 of the family's 1533-position model. Lineage: Bacteria; Pseudomonadati; Pseudomonadota; Betaproteobacteria. The record is from RNAcentral.